Myotis myotis is the source of this 1435-nucleotide long non-coding RNA. RefSeq lists it as uncharacterized. The transcript has 3 exons. The record is from RefSeq and is a predicted model, not a curated record. Lineage: Eukaryota; Metazoa; Chordata; Mammalia; Chiroptera; Vespertilionidae.
AUCGAACUUGGGACCCUUUAGUCUGCAGGCCAAUGCUCUAUCCACCGAGCCAAAUCAGCCAAGGAUGGUCAACUGAUUUUUAUCUCUGCUUCCUCCAUGCAAAAGAGACUCCUUGGAUAUAGCAGAGGUGCUAAGAAGAAUGAAUAAAUGAGAAAAUGAAAGCUAAAGUUCUUGUAAUAUAAUGUUAGAAUCUAUUCAAUCAUUUUCAUCUCAUUUAUAUUACUGUUUUAUACCUAAUACUUAAUUUAUUUUAAUGACCAGGUUAUUAUUUGGAAGAAUUUCAAAGAAAUAUUUUUUUCAGAUAUUGGGAAACAGAUCUUUAUCAUAUUCACAACCUAUUUACUAUUUGCCAAGCAUCAUACCAGUCAAACAGAAUCACACUAUAUACAUUGUUCUGUAGUCAACUAUAAUAAAAUACAACUUGUUAAAUAAACUACUAUUUUAAAAUGAAAUUGAAAUGUCACGUUUAUAAUGCAGGUAAGUUUCUGCUUCUCUAUUUGUUUUACUAGUCUAAUUGUCUAUUUCAAUGCCUAUACUAGUCUGUUUUAGUUACGGUAGAUUUUAAUAAGGUUGAUAUCUGAAGGCAAUUGUUUUUCACAACAUUUUGACUAUUCUCUAUAUUUCAGAUAUUCUUAGAGAUUUUCCUCUUCCAUCUGAACUUUUCCAUAAGCCCUUUUUCAUAUGAACAAAUUUAUCUACUUCCAUGAAUAACCCUUCUGAUUUGGAUUAUAUUUCCUGUAUUAAUUUGGGAAAGAUUGAAAUUUUUUUGAAACAUUAACUCUUCCCACUCAUGCUAAAUAUGGUAUGUCUAGUCAAGCUUUGCUUUAUGUCUUUCAGUAAGAUUACAGAAUUCUUUAUCAUAUGUUUGCUUAAAAUUUACUCUUUUUUAUGCUAUGCUAAUGGAAAAAUUUCCACUUCCAUUUGUAAUGAGUUAGAAAAGUUAUUGGUAUUUGUAUAUUCAUCUUGUAUUCAGCCAUUUUAAUAAAUUUUCUCAAUAGUUCUUGGAAUUUUUCACUGGCAUUUCUAAUUUUUCACUACGAUAUCAGGUAUUUUUCUCCUUUCUCAAUAUUUUCUUAAUGCAUGCCCUAUAAUAUCCAAAACAAGGUCAGAUUAUGUAGUAUUCAUUUGCCACUUGGAGGAAAAAGCUACUCACCAUUUCUGUGCUGAGGAAUUUCUUGCCCAAUAAAUCAGCUUUGAUUUAGAGUCUGAGCUUUGGAGUUGGAAGGCCUUGGAUGGAGUCCCUUUUUUUUUUUUUUUAUCAUGUAUUAGCUAUGUGACUUGAGGGAAGUUAAAAUCAGUUUUCAUCAUCGAUAAAAUGGAUGUAACAAAAGUGCCUAUUUCAAAAUAUUGUUCAAAGGAUUGAAUCUGUAAUAAUGCAACACUUGACUCACUGCCUAUCAACAGGUAAGUGAUAAAAAAAUGCCCACUGUGCCCU